This 253-nucleotide ribosomal RNA is filed under the name uncultured bacterium. Its description in RNAcentral is "partial 16S ribosomal RNA". It matches the Rfam family "Bacterial small subunit ribosomal RNA", at positions 524 to 776 of the family's 1533-position model. The record is from RNAcentral.
UACGUAGGGUGCAAGCGUUGUCCGGAAUUAUUGGGCGUAAAGGGCUCGUAGGCGGUCUGUCGCGUCUGCUGUGAAAACUCGGGGCUUAACCCCGGGCCUGCAGUGGGUACGGGCAGACUAGAGUGCGGUAGGGGAGACUGGAAUUCCUGGUGUAGCGGUGAAAUGCGCAGAUAUCAGGAGGAACACCGGUGGCGAAGGCGGGUCUCUGGGCCGUAACUGACGCUGAGGAGCGAAAGCGUGGGGAGCGAACAGG